GCGCGACCCGCAAGGGUUGGCGGCGAGUGGCGGACGGGUGAGGAAUACAUCGGAAUCUACCCAGUCGUGGGGGAUAACGCACCGAAAGGUGCGCUAAUACCGCAUGAGAUCGCGAGAUGAAAGCGGAGGACCGCAAGGCUUCGCGCGAUUGGAUGAGCCGAUGUCGGAUUAGCUAGUUGGCGGGGUAAGAGCCCACCAAGGCGACGAUCCGUAGCUGGUCUGAGAGGAUGAUCAGCCACACUGGGACUGAGACACGGCCCAGACUCCUACGGGAGGCAGCAGUGGGGAAUAUUGGACAAUGGGCGCAAGCCUGAUCCAGCAAUGCCGCGUGUGUGAAGAAGGCCUUCGGGUUGUAAAGCACUUUUAUCGGGAGCGAAAAGCUACGGGUUAAUACCCCGUGGUGCUGACGGUACCCGAUGAAUAAGCACCGGCUAACUUCGUGCCAGCAGCCGCGGUAAUACGAAGGGUGCAAGCGUUAGUCGGAAUUACUGGGCGUAAAGCGUGCGUAGGCGGUUUUCUAAGUCUGCCGUGAAAGCCCCGGGCUCAACCUGGGAAUGGCGGUGGAUACUGGAAAGCUGGAGUGCGGUAAAGGAGGGUGGAAUUCCCGGUGUAGCGGUGAAAUGCGUAGAGAUCGGGAGGAACAUCAGUGGCGAAGGCGGCCCUCUGGACCAGCACUGACGCUUAGGCACGAAAGCGUGGGGGAGCAAACAGGAUUAGAUACCCUGGUAGUCCCCGCCCUAAACGAUGCAAACUGGACGUUGGGCUCACUCGGAGCUCAGUGUCAAACCUUACGCGUUAAUUCGCCGCCGGGGGAUACGCUCGCAAGAGU
RNAcentral lists this ribosomal RNA (829 nucleotides) under uncultured Gammaproteobacteria bacterium. Its description in RNAcentral is "bacterial SSU rRNA". It matches the Rfam family "Bacterial small subunit ribosomal RNA", at positions 69 to 895 of the family's 1533-position model. Lineage: Bacteria; Pseudomonadati; Pseudomonadota; Gammaproteobacteria. The record is from RNAcentral.